Molecule: transfer RNA, 64 nt
Filed under: Elimaea berezovskii
Lineage: Eukaryota; Metazoa; Arthropoda; Insecta; Orthoptera; Tettigoniidae
Description: tRNA-Cys
Source: RNAcentral
GGCUUUAUAGUCAUAAAUGAUUUUAGACUGCAAUUCUAAAGGAGUAGGUAAUCUGCUAAAGCUU